AUGUUGCAAUUUUCAUUCCGUUGGAUUCGGCUUCAAUAUUUAUCUGUCAAUGUGCUAAUGGUGGUCAACCUCUUCAGGAUGGCUCCUCCAACGCGCACGACUCCGAAUCCUGAUCCGCCACCGCCUCCACCUCCUCCAGAGGCAUGGCAAGCUGUGAUGGCCGCAACUAAUGCAAACACUCAGCUAAUCAUGCAAAUUCUUCAAGAGCGCAAUCAAGGCAGCCAAGGGAACCAAGGCAGCAAUCAGAGUCACUUCGCUACACUCAACCAGUUCCUUGCUAACGGGCCAAAUACUUUCAGCAAUUGUGUUGAGGCAACCGAUGCUGACGAUUGGCUUGUGGAUCUGUGUAAGCAUUUCGAGUGCAGUAACGUCAGGCCUGAGGACUUUGUGAAGUUCGCUUCCUUCCAACUCAAAGAUCAAGCUGCAGAAUGGUUCCAGCAGUACAAGUGA
RNAcentral lists this ribosomal RNA (450 nucleotides) under Triticum aestivum (bread wheat). Its description in RNAcentral is "partial small subunit ribosomal RNA". Lineage: Eukaryota; Viridiplantae; Streptophyta; Magnoliopsida; Poales; Poaceae. The record is from RNAcentral.